CCCUAUGGGGUGCAGCAGGCGAGAAAACUUUGCAAUGUGCGAAAGCACGACAAGGUUAAUCCGAGUGGUUUGUGCUAAACGAACCUUUUGUCGGUCCUAGAAACACCGAUGAAUAAGGGGUGGGCAAGUUCUGGUGUCAGCCGCCGCGGUAAAACCAGCACCUCAAGUGGUCAGGAUGAUUAUUGGGCCUAAAGCAUCCGUAGCCGGCUCUGUAAGUUUUCGGUUAAAUCUGUACGCUCAACGUACAGGCUGCCGGGAAUACUGCAGAGCUAGGGAGUGGGAGAGGUAGACGGUACUCGGUAGGAAGGGGUAAAAUCCUUUGAUCUAUUGAUGACCACCUGUGGCGAAGGCGGUCUACCAGAACACGUCCGACGGUGAGGGAUGAAAGCUGGGGGAGCAAACCGGAUUAGAUACCCGGGUAGUCCCAGCUGUAAACUAUGCAAACUCAGUGAUGCAUUGGCUUGUGGCCAAUGCAGUGCUGCAGGGAAGCCGUUAAGUUUGCCGCCUGGGAAGUACGUACGCAAGUAUGAAACUUAAAGGAAUUGGCGGGGGAGCACCACAAGGGGUGAAGCCUGCGGUUCAAUUGGAGUCAACGCCAGAAAUCUUACCCGGAGAGACAGCAGAAUGAAGGUCAAGCUGAAGACUUUACCAGACAAGCUGAGAAGUGGUGCAUGGCC
This 677-nucleotide ribosomal RNA is filed under the name uncultured archaeon. RNAcentral's name for it is "bacterial SSU rRNA". It matches the Rfam family "Archaeal small subunit ribosomal RNA", at positions 321 to 999 of the family's 1478-position model. The record is from RNAcentral.